RNAcentral lists this ribosomal RNA (593 nucleotides) under Pleurotus calyptratus. RNAcentral's name for it is "LSU rRNA". It matches the Rfam family "Eukaryotic large subunit ribosomal RNA", at positions 68 to 643 of the family's 3401-position model. The record is from RNAcentral. Lineage: Eukaryota; Fungi; Basidiomycota; Agaricomycetes; Agaricales; Pleurotaceae.
CCUACUCAUUCCCUAGUACUGCGAGUGAAGCGGGAAAAGCUCAAAUUUAAAAUCUGGUGGUCUUUGGCCAUCCGAGUUGUAAUCUAGAGAAGUGUUAUCCGCGCUGGACCGUGUACAAGUCUCCUGGAAUGGAGCGUCAUAGAGGGUGAGAAUCCCGUCUUUGACACGGACUACCAGGGCUUUGUGAUGCACUCUCAACGAGUCGAGUUGUUUGGGAAUGCAGCUCAAAAUGGGUGGUAAAUUCCAUCUAAAGCUAAAUAUUGGCGAGAGACCGAUAGCGAACAAGUACCGUGAGGGAAAGAUGAAAAGAACUUUGGAAAGAGAGUUAAACAGUACGUGAAAUUGUUGAAAGGGAAACGCUUGAAGUCAGUCGCGUCUGUCAGAAAUCAACCUUACUUUUGUGCGGUGUAUUUUCUGAUAGAUGGGUCAGCAUCAGUUUUGGCUGCUGGAUAAAGGUUAGAGAAAUGUGGCAUCUUCGGGUGUGUUAUAGUCUCUGAUCAUAUACAGUGGCUGGGACUGAGGAACUCAGCACGCCGAAAGGCCGGAGCUUUGCUCACGUUCGUGCUUAGGAUGCUGCAAAAUGCUAAGUCCAU